RNAcentral lists this ribosomal RNA (558 nucleotides) under Fusarium proliferatum. RNAcentral's name for it is "eukaryotic LSU rRNA". The stretch from base 179 to 332 matches the Rfam family "5.8S ribosomal RNA". Lineage: Eukaryota; Fungi; Ascomycota; Sordariomycetes; Hypocreales; Nectriaceae. The record is from RNAcentral.
UCCGUUGGUGAACCAGCGGAGGGGUCAUUACCGAGUUUACAACUCCCAAACCCCUGUGAACAUACCAAUUGUUGCCUCGGCGGAUCAGCCCGCUCCCGGUAAAACGGGACGGCCCGCCAGAGGACCCCUAAACUCUGUUUCUAUAUGUAACUUCUGAGUAAAACCAUAAAUAAAUCAAAACUUUCAACAACGGAUCUCUUGGUUCUGGCAUCGAUGAAGAACGCAGCAAAAUGCGAUAAGUAAUGUGAAUUGCAGAAUUCAGUGAAUCAUCGAAUCUUUGAACGCACAUUGCGCCCGCCAGUAUUCUGGCGGGCAUGCCUGUUCGAGCGUCAUUUCAACCCUCAAGCCCCCGGGUUUGGUGUUGGGGAUCGGCGAGCCCUUGCGGCAAGCCGGCCCCGAAAUCUAGUGGCGGUCUCGCUGCAGCUUCCAUUGCGUAGUAGUAAAACCCUCGCAACUGGUACGCGGCGCGGCCAAGCCGUUAAACCCCCAACUUCUGAAUGUUGACCUCGGAUCAGGUAGGAAUACCCGCUGAACUUAAGCAUAUCAAUAAGCGGAGGA